UAAGGAAUAUUGGACAACGGAGGCAACUCUGAUCCAGCCAUGCCGCGUGAAGGAAUAAGGCCCUAUGGGUUGUAAACUUCUUUUAGACGGGACAAAACCCCUUUACGUGUAAAGGGUUGAUGGUACUGUCAGAAUAAGCAUCGGCUAACUUCGUGCCAGCAGCCGCGGUAAUACGAAGGAUGCAAGCGUUAUCCGGAAUUAUUGGGUUUAAAGGGUGCGUAGGCGGACUAAUAAGUCAGUGGUGAAAGCCUGCAGCUUAACUGCAGAAUUGCCAUUGAUACUGUUAGUCUUGAGUACAUUUGAGGUAGGCGGAAUGUGUCAUGUAGCGGUGAAAUGCUUAGAUAUGACACAGAACACGGAUGGCGAAGGCAGCUUGCUAAGCUGUAACUGACGCUGAGGCACGAAAGCGUGGGGAGCAA
Molecule: ribosomal RNA, 419 nt
Filed under: uncultured bacterium
Lineage: Bacteria
Description: bacterial SSU rRNA
Rfam family: Bacterial small subunit ribosomal RNA
Source: RNAcentral